GGGUGUUGCUGAAUGUGGCAUACACAGCCUCCAUUUAUAACGCAGUGGUGGAAGCUCCCCCAGGCAUGAAAGUUGCUGUGCAACCAUCAACAGUCAACUUUCCGGGAAAAUAUAGCAAAGCAGAGUUUAACCUGACUGUGGAAAUCAACUUGGAAGUUGAUAGUGUUGCUCGACAAAGUGAUUAUUUUGGGAAUUAUGGGUUCUUGAGCUGGAACGAGGUUAACGGAACGCAUGUGAUUAGAAGCCCC
This 248-nucleotide unclassified non-coding RNA is filed under the name Hevea brasiliensis (rubber tree). The record is from RNAcentral. Lineage: Eukaryota; Viridiplantae; Streptophyta; Magnoliopsida; Malpighiales; Euphorbiaceae.